RNAcentral lists this ribosomal RNA (460 nucleotides) under uncultured bacterium. Its description in RNAcentral is "partial 16S ribosomal RNA". It matches the Rfam family "Bacterial small subunit ribosomal RNA", at positions 338 to 795 of the family's 1533-position model. The record is from RNAcentral.
CCUACGGGAGGCAGCAGUGAGGAAUAUUGGUCAAUGGGCGGAAGCCUGAACCAGCCAAGUCGCGUGCAGGAUGACGGCCCUAUGGGUUGUAAACUUCUUUUGUACGGGAGCAACGCGCCGUACGUGUGGGGCUUGGCAUGUACCCUAUGAAUAAGCACCGGCUAAUUCCGUGCCAGCAGCCGCGGUAAUACGGAAGGUCCGGGCGUUAUCCGGAUUUAUUGGGUUUAAAGGGUGCGUAGGCCGCAAGUUAAGUGUACUGUGAAAUUUGCGGGCUAAAACCGGGCCUUGCAGUGCAAACUGGGGUGCUUGAGUGGGCGAGAAGCAGGCGGAAUGCGUGGUGUAGCGGUGAAAUGCAUAGAUAUGACGAAGAACUCCGAUUGCGAAGGCAGCGUGCUGGAGCGGAACUGACGCUGAAGCACGAAAGCGUGGGUAUCGAACAGGAUUAGAUACCCGAGUAGUC